GGAGUGGUGACGUUUCCUCAUUGGGCGGAAGGUUCGGUGGCACUCCGUCGGUCUUCCAGCUGGUGGGAGUUGGCGACGCGGGGCUGGGCGUUGGGACCCUGUUUUAUCUAGUUCGGGAAGUUGGGUUGUGGGGUCAUACCUGUCUGUCUGCUCCCAGCUUUCUUGGGUUUCUUCCGACGGCGUGGGGCCUCGCUAAGGAAUUCCCGGCCCCUUAGGGCCGCGGCUUUAGCGGUGUCUUUUGCGAGUUCUUCGUAAGUACAUCUUAAAGCUGUCAAGAUGGUUCUAGCAGACCUUGGAAGAAAAAUAACAUCAGCAUUACGCUCGUUGAGCAAUGCUACCAUUAUCAAUGAAGAGGUAUGUAAAAUAUUGUAUGAAAUACAUAUGAUUGUAUAUUAUCACUAGCAUUGGGAAGAUGGCUUAUUAAUAAUCCCUGUGUUUAUAUGUAUUUUGAUAUAGACUUAAUACUUGUAGAUAAAAGCCUAAAAGUGGAU
RNAcentral lists this small RNA (491 nucleotides) under Pongo abelii (Sumatran orangutan). Its description in RNAcentral is "retained intron". The record is from RNAcentral. Lineage: Eukaryota; Metazoa; Chordata; Mammalia; Primates; Hominidae.